GCUGUAGCUCAGUGACAGAGCAUCUGUCUUACAUGCAGAACAUCCUGGGUUCAAAGCCCGGCAUCUACA
This is a non-coding RNA of Podarcis lilfordi (Lilford's wall lizard), 69 nucleotides long. The record is from the annotation of a GenBank genome assembly. Lineage: Eukaryota; Metazoa; Chordata; Lepidosauria; Squamata; Lacertidae.